GUGCUUAGCUAGUUGGCGGGGUAACGGCCCAGCCAAGGCGACGAUGAUUGAGGGGAUCUGAGAGGAUGGCCCCCCACACUGGUACUGAGACACGGACCAGACUCCUACGGGAGGCAGCAGUAAGGAAUAUUGGUCAAUGGAGGCAACUCUGAACCAGCCAUGCCGCGUGCAGGAAGACUGCCCUAUGGGUUGUAAACUGCUUUUAUUCGGGAAUAAACCUUAUUACGUGUAAUAAGCUGAAUGUACCGAAGGAAUAAGGAUCGGCUAACUCCGUGCCAGCCGCCGCGGUAAUACA
Molecule: ribosomal RNA, 295 nt
Filed under: Pedobacter agri
Lineage: Bacteria; Pseudomonadati; Bacteroidota; Sphingobacteriia; Sphingobacteriales; Sphingobacteriaceae
Description: partial 16S ribosomal RNA
Rfam family: Bacterial small subunit ribosomal RNA
Source: RNAcentral